ACAAUGGGAUUUGACUCAGCCAUCAGAAAGGAUGAAUACCCACCAUUUCCUAUACAUUUGAAUUUGAGGUGGGUCACCCACUCACCUCCGCUCCCUUCUGGGACUCAGGAACUCCAGUUUUGCCUCCUUCGGGAGUACUGGCUGGGUGAAGCUUAGACUCUUCUCCCUCGGGGUGGGCGGACAGGGUGGUGAGCAAAUGACACAGUCCUCUGCUUUGCUCCUUCCUGCCCUGCCCAGGGAUUUCUACCCUGUGCUCAAGGCUGCUGGCUGGCCUCAGUGCCUUGCCAUUUGGGUCAGAGCUGUUCCCCACUUGAGUCCUUCAUUUGUAUAGAGCCUUGUGGUGUUGGGGGGGCACCUUCCCGACCUCUCCCAAGGGCCCCCGGCCUCUGUGUAUUGGCAAGGGAUCCAUCCAACUAGUUAACAGGACUUAGGACCACUUCCGAGAGGACUGAAGCUGGCUGCUGAUGGUGGGCACCGUAAAGCCUGAAAACACCGAGUCACUUAAUCCCCCAACAGUAAAGACUAAAUUCACAUGCGAUUGGUGAUUUCGCCACACCACCUCCCUCCGCACAGGACACUGCAGUGAUUUUCACAGACUCAUCACAGACAAGUCUGAGCUGGGACCCGGAGCUGCAGAGGACAUACGGUGGCUCAGCAUAAACGGCCAAUGUGGGGACAUUGCCUCGGUGCAGGUGCAGAAACCCCAAGUCACAAUUCACAGUGGAGUCCAGCUCCUUCCGACUUCAGGAAUGUUCCUGCCAGCUACCUCCUCAAACAGCAGGUUUAAAACAAGGAAAUCUCCACCAACUAGCUCCUCCCAGGGGAUUUUGUGGCCACGUUGGAUGGGAAGACGGGGUGGUGCUGCGGUGUCACAAAACAUCAACUCAGGGAGCAAACACAGACGUUCACAUACACUCCGAUCUGUGAGUUUCAAGAGGGUCUCGUUGUAAUGCCAAUUAUUUUUCAUGAGUAAAUGGUACUACAGAUAAAAUUCCUACGACCUAGAAUGCCGUGUAUUUUGAUGACAGGUCAGCCCGUGAGGCCACAUCAUCUAAGUUCAUGUUUUAGAGCUGCUGUGGAAAGUAAAUGAGUCAACCCAGGUAAAACGCUGGACACAGGGUGAGGCAUUCCAGGAAGUCACUUUUGUCCUGAUCCGGCCCAUGACUUCUGGCUGACUGCUAAGUGAUGAGCUAAGCAGUUAGCUCCAGAUCUUGGUUGUUGCCCUAUUUUUUUUCCCCCCCUUCCAGACCAUAUGGGUUCACUUUUCUCCAAAAACUUUGCCAAAAAAACAAGGAACAAUCCAUCUGCCACUUAAACAAGAACAGAUUUAUUGCUUUUAACUUUAAAAAAAAAAAAAAAGAUGUCAAGUGCAAAAAAAAGAUGCAUUCCCCUCAUUGGGGGCCUGACGCAGGCUGCCAUGUCCGGUGGCUGAUGCUGUCCCAAUAUCCAUUCAUUGGAUCGAAGCCAAGGGAGAGAACCUAGGGGUUUUGCCCUAAAGUGGGAGGUGACAAAAAGGAUCAGUAGUCGCUGGCCCCAGGGACUCUAAUAUCUACUUUGUUUCACUGGAUUUUAUAUUUGCUGAAGGCCUGGAAGGCUCCCAGCCCUUCAUCCAUGGGUCAGGCGAACUUUGUUAUAGUAGGGUCUGCAGUGCUAGUGACCAGUAACCCUGCACCUGCCCCAGCUGCCAGGGACAUUCAAGCAUUGCUCAUAAGAUGGACAAUGGAUAAGUCAGACUGCCUGACAGUUGGGGACUUAGGAGAACAUCAUUUUCCUUUUGCCAAGAUCAUCUUCGGGCUGCCUUGUUAGGACCCAAGCUAUUUUCUAUGGUCACAGAGACCUACUUUACUUAAAAAGUUUAGUUUCGUUCCAUUUAAUUUUCUAAACAGAUAAUACGUUCAGAUGUUUCAAAAUUCAAAG
Long non-coding RNA from Mustela erminea (ermine), 1917 nucleotides. RefSeq lists it as uncharacterized. The transcript is spliced from 3 exons. The record is from RefSeq and is a predicted model, not a curated record. Lineage: Eukaryota; Metazoa; Chordata; Mammalia; Carnivora; Mustelidae.